ACUGACACGUAUGAUUAAUUAACUACCUAAUUGAUUGACACAUAAGCAAAUAGUUUUUUUUUAAUUAUUACAAAAUUAAGAUUACAUCUUUUUAAAUGUUUCUCGAUUAAUAUAUAAGGGAUAGGUUAUAGUAAACUUUGAACUUUGACUAACUCAGUAUUUAAGUCUUUUCUAAGUCAAAUCAGAAAGGGCCAUAACGAUUUUUCUGUCGAUGGCUAUACCAACUUUUGAAAACGUUUCCACAGAAAAAGAGAAAAAAAAAAAGCGGAUAAUUCAUAUAAAAGAACUUAACUAUAAUUAUUUUUCUCUAUGCUUUUGAGUUAAUUGAUCUACCAAACGAGAAAGUAUGCUACUACCUUUAGGCCGCCAUGUCAUGUUAGGAAAUGUACUAGAUAAAUUUGAAUAAAUCAUUAGUUUCGAAAAGAAUAGAAGUAUAAAUUAGAAUUUGACUGGCUAGGGUUUUAAGAAACUGUGAAUGAAUAAAUAAUUUUCUACAACCUCAUUUACGUAUAAACAACAAAUCA
RNAcentral lists this long non-coding RNA (524 nucleotides) under Brassica napus (rape). RNAcentral's name for it is "long non-coding RNA (BNAP_LNC017088)". Lineage: Eukaryota; Viridiplantae; Streptophyta; Magnoliopsida; Brassicales; Brassicaceae. The record is from RNAcentral.